Long non-coding RNA from Diachasma alloeum, 153 nucleotides. RefSeq lists it as uncharacterized. The transcript is spliced from 2 exons. Lineage: Eukaryota; Metazoa; Arthropoda; Insecta; Hymenoptera; Braconidae. The record is from RefSeq and is a predicted model, not a curated record.
GCGAGAAAUCGUUUUUGCGAAUGGCGAAUUGACACAGGGCAUAACCAAACAACUUCCCUCAAUUUCAAGGGACACAAAGAGCAGGAGGGUUCAACCGGCCGCAGCAGGAUACCGCUAUUGGAAUGUGAAUAAAAAAAAAUCAUAAACAUCCAC